Molecule: ribosomal RNA, 638 nt
Filed under: Staphylococcus aureus
Lineage: Bacteria; Bacillati; Bacillota; Bacilli; Caryophanales; Staphylococcaceae
Description: partial 23S ribosomal RNA
Rfam family: Bacterial large subunit ribosomal RNA
Source: RNAcentral
GGGCCCCUCUCGGGUUACCGAAUUCAGACAAACUCCGAAUGCCAAUUAAUUUAACUUGGGAGUCAGAACAUGGGUGAUAAGGUCCGUGUUCGAAAGGGAAACAGCCCAGACCACCAGCUAAGGUCCCAAAAUAUAUGUUAAGUGGAAAAGGAUGUGGCGUUGCCCAGACAACUAGGAUGUUGGCUUAGAAGCAGCCAUCAUUUAAAGAGUGCGUAAUAGCUCACUAGUCGAGUGACACUGCGCCGAAAAUGUACCGGGGCUAAACAUAUUACCGAAGCUGUGGAUUGUCCUUUGGACAAUGGUAGGAGAGCGUUCUAAGGGCGUUGAAGCAUGAUCGUAAGGACAUGUGGAGCGCUUAGAAGUGAGAAUGCCGGUGUGAGUAGCGAAAGACGGGUGAGAAUCCCGUCCACCGAUUGACUAAGGUUUCCAGAGGAAGGCUCGUCCGCUCUGGGUUAGUCGGGUCCUAAGCUGAGGCCGACAGGCGUAGGCGAUGGAUAACAGGUUGAUAUUCCUGUACCACCUAUAAUCGUUUUAAUCGAUGGGGGGACGCAGUAGGAUAGGCGAAGCGUGCGAUUGGAUUGCACGUCUAAGCAGUAAGGCUGAGUAUUAGGCAAAUCCGGUACUCGUUAAGGCUGAGC